RNAcentral lists this ribosomal RNA (515 nucleotides) under uncultured bacterium. Its description in RNAcentral is "partial 16S ribosomal RNA". It matches the Rfam family "Bacterial small subunit ribosomal RNA", at positions 28 to 523 of the family's 1533-position model. The record is from RNAcentral.
GAUGAACGCUGGCGGCGUGCCUAGUACAUGCAAGUCGAGCGAAUGGAUUAAGAGCUUGCUCUUAUGAAGUUAGCGGCGGACGGGUGAGUAACACGUGGGUAACCUGCCCAUAAGACUGGGAUAACUCCGGGAAACCGGGGCUAAUACCGGAUAAUAUUUUGAACUGCAUGGUUCAAAAUUGAAAGGCGGCUUCGGCUGUCACUUAUGGAUGGCCCCGCGUCGCAUUAGCCAGUUGGUGAGGUAACGGCUCACCAAGGCAACGAUGCGUAGCCGACCUGAGAGGGUGAUCGGCCACACUGGGACUGAGACACGGCCCAGACUCCUACGGGAGGCAGCAGUAGGGAAUCUUCCGCAAUGGACGAAAGUCUGACGGAGCAACGCCGCGUGAGUGAUUAAGGCUUUCGGGUCGUAAAACUCUGUUGUUAGGGAAGAACAAGUGCUAGUUGAAUAAGCUGACACCUUGACGGUACCUAACCAGAAAGCCACGGCUAACUACGUGCCAGCAGCCGCAGUAA